GAUUGUACCAACUGUCUGUGGAGAGACGGCAGAGGAAGUCACUGUGGAUUGUACCAACUGUCUGUGGAGAGACGGCAGAGGAAGUCACUGUGGAUUGUACCAACUGUCUGUGGAGAGACGGCAGAGGAAGUCACUGUGACCUGAUGAAGCUCAGGUGUUCCUGGACCCAUCAGAGGACAGAGACAGCUGCAGCAUCAGGACAGUCUGGGUAUCCAAAGGAAGACACAUCAAGAUGAACACUGACAGCAGAGCUCCAUUACCAGCUCACACUUCAGUAUACUAGAAACCUAAGAUACCUUGAUGAAGGACACGGUCUGCACAGUUUACAUAAAAGUUAUAGCUUUGUUACUUACAACAUGUGUAACUGGAAUAUGAAUGAAACAUAAAUAAAGUGUUUUACUUUUAAGAA
This is a long non-coding RNA of Dicentrarchus labrax (European seabass), 409 nucleotides long. RefSeq lists it as uncharacterized. Lineage: Eukaryota; Metazoa; Chordata; Actinopteri; Moronidae. The transcript has 2 exons. The record is from RefSeq and is a predicted model, not a curated record.